Molecule: ribosomal RNA, 512 nt
Filed under: Aclodes cameronae
Lineage: Eukaryota; Metazoa; Arthropoda; Insecta; Orthoptera; Phalangopsidae
Description: partial 16S ribosomal RNA
Rfam family: Bacterial large subunit ribosomal RNA
Source: RNAcentral
GUCUUCAUGUGAUGUAUUAUGAAGUCGUGCCUGCCCACUGAUGAUAUUAAAGGGCCGCGGUAUUUUGACUGUGCAAAGGUAGCAUAAUCAUUAGUCUUUUAAUUGAGGGCUGGUAUGAAUGGUUUGACGAGAUAACAUCUGUCUCUUUAAUAGAGAUUGAAUUUUACUUUUAAGUUAAAAGGCUUAAAUUUUGGUUGGGGACGAGAAGACCCUAUAGAUCUUGAUUCAUUAAGUAUUGGAAGUUGCUUUGGUUUGUUUAUGUCUGCUAGUACAAGUGAAUUUGGUUGGGGUGAUGAGAGAAUAAAUUUAACUUCUUGUUUUUAAAACUAUGAUUAUUGGUUAUUUUGAUCCUUUAUUAUGGAUAAAAGAAGAAGAUACCUUAGGGAUAACAGCGUUAUUUUAUUUGAGAGUUCUUAUCGACAAUGAAGAUUGCGACCUCGAUGUUGAAUUAAGAUUAUAAUUUGGUGUAGUGGCUUAAUUAUGUUAGUCUGUUCGACUAUUAAAAUCUUACA